AUGCUUUUAGCAGGAAUAUUAUUAAAGAUGGGAGCAUAUGGAUUGAUUCGGAUCAACAUGGAAUUGUUACCUCAUGCUCAUUAUCUAUUUUCGCCCUGGUUAGUAAUAAUAGGAGCGAUCCAAAUAAUCUAUGCAGCUUCAACUUCUCUUGGUCAACGAAAUUUCAAAAAAAGAAUAGCUUAUUCCUCUGUAUCUCACAUGGGUUUCAUAAUUAUAGGAAUUGGUUCCAUAACCAACAUUGGACUCAAUGGAGCUAUUUUACAAAUAUUAUCCCAUGGAUUUAUUGGUGCUACACUUUUUUUCUUGGCAGGAACCGCUUCUGAUAGAAUGCAUCUUGUUUAUCUCGAAGAACUGGGGGGAAUAUCUAUCCCAAUGCCUAAAUUUUUUACCAUUUUUAGUAGCUUUUCAAUGGCUUCUCUUGCCUUACCAGGAAUGAGUGGUUUUGUCGCAGAAUUAGUAGUAUUUUUUGGACUAAUUACUAGUCCAAAAUUUCUGUUAAUGCCAAAAACACUAAUUACUUUUGUAAUGGCAAUUGGAAUGAUAUUAACUCCUAUUUAUUUAUUAUCUAUGUUACGCCAGAUCUUCAAUGGAUACAAGCUAUUUAAUGUUCCAAACGCAAAUUUUGUGGAUUCUGGACCACGAGAACUCUUUAUUUUAAUCUGUAUCUUUUUACCAGUAAUAGGAAUUGGUAUUUAUCCAGAUUUUGUUCUCUCCCUAUCCAUUGACAGGGUAGAGGCUCUCUUAUCCAAUUAUUAUCCUAAAUAG
This 765-nucleotide ribosomal RNA is filed under the name Triticum aestivum (bread wheat). Its description in RNAcentral is "partial small subunit ribosomal RNA". The record is from RNAcentral. Lineage: Eukaryota; Viridiplantae; Streptophyta; Magnoliopsida; Poales; Poaceae.